GCGGUAGUAGUUAAACCUGGUUAGAAUAUUGCCUUGCCAAGGCAAUGAUCCGGGUUCAAAUCCCGGCUGCCGCA
Molecule: transfer RNA, 74 nt
Filed under: Candidatus Woesearchaeota archaeon
Lineage: Archaea; Nanobdellati; Candidatus Woesearchaeota
Description: tRNA-Gly
Rfam family: tRNA
About the family: Transfer RNA (tRNA) molecules are approximately 80 nucleotides in length. Their secondary structure includes four short double-helical elements and three loops (D, anti-codon, and T loops).
Source: RNAcentral